Molecule: ribosomal RNA, 120 nt
Rfam family: 5.8S ribosomal RNA
About the family: 5.8S ribosomal RNA (5.8S rRNA) is a component of the large subunit of the eukaryotic ribosome.
UUUUUUUUGCAACAAAUAUAUCAAUUCAAUUGUCGAUGAAGAAUGCAGCAAAGUGUGUUAUGCAUUGCAAAAUGCAGAAUUUCGUGAAUCAAUGAAUGGUUGAAUGUUGUUUGUAUCUUC